ACAGCAGCAGCCACGGGAAUACGUAGGUGGCAAGCGUUGUCCGGAAUCAUUGGGCGUAAAGGGCUCGCAGGCGGUUUCUUAAGUCUGAUGUGAAAGCCCCCGGCUCAACCGGGGAGGGUCAUUGGAAACUGGGAAACUUGAGUGCAGAAGAGGAGAGUGGAAUUCCACGUGUAGCGGUGAAAUGCGUAGAGAUGUGGAGGAACACCAGUGGCGAAAGCGGCUCUCUGGCUUGUAACUGACGCUGAGGCUCGAAAGCGUGGGGAGCAAACAGGAUUAGAUACCCGCGUAGUCCCUGUCUCUUAUAC
RNAcentral lists this ribosomal RNA (305 nucleotides) under uncultured bacterium. RNAcentral's name for it is "partial 16S ribosomal RNA". It matches the Rfam family "Bacterial small subunit ribosomal RNA", at positions 505 to 807 of the family's 1533-position model. The record is from RNAcentral.